This is a long non-coding RNA of Helianthus annuus (common sunflower), 532 nucleotides long. RefSeq lists it as uncharacterized. The record is from RefSeq and is a predicted model, not a curated record. The transcript has 3 exons. NCBI's taxonomy places the organism in Eukaryota, Viridiplantae, Streptophyta, Magnoliopsida, Asterales, Asteraceae.
AUAUCGACUUGCCUUCACUUCCAAACUCACACUCGCAACCUUUUUCGGAUCACCUGCAACCGCCGGCACUCACCACCACCGAGACCACAAAACCCUCUCUGCUCCUCCGCACCCCGCCGGAACUCGCCGGAGGAGACAACCCCACCUAACCGGAAACCGCACUCAAACGCGCCGGAACCACUACUGUUAGCUUCGUCGGAGAAGGAGACCGGAGAAGAGAAACCGAGACGCCGGAGAAGACGAAGUAGUCGGAAAGCCGCCUGAAACCACUGACGUCGCCGGAGAAGACGCACGUCCGGGUAAUCUUCUUGCGCUCGUUGCAACUUCUUGCAAUCUUUUGGAUAAUCUCAAACCUUCUACUCUAAUCUCUUUCUAAGAAACGCAACGCAAUCUAAGGUUGAUAGAUGAAGAAUUCAAGAAUCAAGUUAGGUGGAUUAGAAACACACCUAGAAAUAAACUAUGUUGGAAUCUUGUUGGUUUAUUUGAACAAUGUAUGACAUUUUAGCAUUUAUGAAAUUGAAUUUAAAUUAUA